CUUUGUUUGAAUCCUAGUCCUGCUGCCUGUUUGUUCCAGGACUUCACCCAGUUUACUGGACUGAAGAUCAUCAUCAAUGGAUCAAUGCUAGAUCAAUGCUAGAUCAAUGACUCAAGUAAGGCAUUUGGACACCACCCUUGAUGCCCUUGUGGAAAAGAUGAAUAAACUGUGGAUUAAUAAUAGCAAAGAGGUAAUUCAUAUGUAGCUUAACCGAUACAUCAAAGCCAUUUUUUGAAUGACCACCAUAGCAGACCACAAUGGCUUUCCCAUUCAUAUCGGUCCCUACAGAUCAACUCUAUUGCUGACCAGCUGUGACAUCUAUUCUGGGAAAUUUUGUUUCUGUGAGUCUCAGUUUACUUACCUAUAAAACAGAGAAAACAAUUUAUUUCAAAGGAUUUGGAUUGGGAUUAAAGGAUGCGAUACAUUCCGUAAGCUACAAAGAAUAUGUUACAUAUACUUUUAACACUUGUCUGUCUGUAUCAGUAAUCUUCAAGUUCCAUGCAACUGAGUCUUUCACUUACCGUUGUAUCCUUAUCUUCCAGUGCAGAACCUGGUGAAUAAAAUGUUCUCAGCAAAUAUUAUUGAAUGAAUGAAUGAACACGUUCCUAAAGCUGGCGCCAUAUUCAAUGCACACAAAUGUUCCAGAAAGAUUUGUUUCCC
RNAcentral lists this long non-coding RNA (660 nucleotides) under Homo sapiens (human). RNAcentral describes it as "HSALNT0098995". The record is from RNAcentral. Lineage: Eukaryota; Metazoa; Chordata; Mammalia; Primates; Hominidae.